RNAcentral lists this transfer RNA (71 nucleotides) under uncultured Clostridium sp. It matches the Rfam family "tRNA". From Rfam's summary of the family: Transfer RNA (tRNA) molecules are approximately 80 nucleotides in length. The record is from RNAcentral. Lineage: Bacteria; Bacillati; Bacillota; Clostridia; Eubacteriales; Clostridiaceae.
GAGGUUUAGCUCAGUUGGGAGAGCAUCUGCCUUACAAGCAGGGGGUCAGGGGUUCAAGUCCCUUAACCUCC